Molecule: small nuclear RNA, 186 nt
Organism: Hyla sarda
Lineage: Eukaryota; Metazoa; Chordata; Amphibia; Anura; Hylidae
Product: U2 spliceosomal RNA
Exons: 1
Source: RefSeq, a predicted model, not a curated record
AUCGCUUCUCGGCCUUUUGGAAAAGAUCAAGUGUAGUAUCUGUUCUUAUCAGUUUCCGCCAGUGGAUGGGAAACGCCGGUGUUGGACUGGUGGGGAUGGGUGCUGCAUGGAGGGGGCAGGUUUACCAGGGUGUUCUGGGGCUGGUUCUGAGGAAUCAGCUCAACGGCUGCCGUGAUGUGACCUGUU